UCUUGAGCUAGUUCGUUUUUGUCAAAAUUGUUUGUGCUUGAACAGAAAUUCAGUCCAUGACCUAAGAAAGAGAUAUCAUCUGGAACUGCUACACUUGUCCCUUGAAUUGCUAGAUAUAGCAGUCACAUAUCCAUCGCAUCAUACCCGACCAUAUUGAAAGGAACAGAUGAGACAAUGAGGUGUGAAAUACAUUAUUCUUGGAUGGCUAUGGUUAGAAAGCCAUUCACCAGAGUUCAGUUCGAUCAGGGUUUAACAGCAACAACAACAACAGCAAAGAUUCUAUAUGUGACUGUUUAAUCAGGCCAAAGAAGCCUUGGAACUGUCUGAAUUUCAAAGAGGCCGUAUUGUGGGUCAUUCUCAAGGUGGAUAUAGUCAGCGUAAAAUCGCAGAAAACCUUGUGAUCCCGCUUUCUACAGUGAUUGUGCAAUUCACAAGAGAGAGGAAGAAGUCCACAUCACCUUGUCCAGAUCAACCAGGGCCCUCUAAAAGGACCCUUCUCUUUGCUAAGAGAAGUGUGGAGGAUAAUCCUCGUUGCAAGACCUUUGACAUAGCAGAGCAAGUUGAUGUCAGUCCCAGAACAGCUGUCAGGUAUCUCCACAAACUUUGUUACUAUGGCAGAGCAGGAAGAAGGAAGCCAUAUCUUUGACUAGCCAAUAUAAAGCAGAGAAAAGAUUUGGCCAGUGAGAUGGUAGAGAGGCCAUUAGCAUUUUGGGACACUAUCAUAUUCUCUAAUGAGUCCAGAUUUGCUAUAUUUCCCUAACAGUGUGCUAUAUUUCCCUAACAGUGAAGACUCUGUGAUCAAGAAUUUGAUGUGAAAAGAUUGCAACCAGCAAUGAAACACAGCAGCUAUUCUGUGAUGGUCUGGGGGAACAAUUUGGAGCAAUGGUUGAUCAGAGCUGGUGGAGUGUAAGGAAAAGAUAAACUCAAAUAAAUAUGUGUCCAUAUUGCAGAAAGGACUCCUUCAAAACUUCUCCAGAGAUGAAAUGAUUAAGGAAGACUCUAUGGAAGAUGGGAUUCCUUAUCACACGAUUAAAAUGACCGAAGAUUUGUUGGAAAAGAAUGGCAUUAGAAAGCUUCCAUAGCCAAGCCAGUCACCCUGGGGCAUAAUGGACAGGACAUUUCAUAAACAGAACAAGAAAGCAUCUUUAAAGCCAGAUCUUUUGAGAUUAUUGCAUGAAACUUAGCAAGAAAUUCUGCAAGAGAAUAUUCACCAUCUGAUCAUGCCUAAUAGGGCCCUUGAAUUGAAAAAAUGCAAAGAUCAUGCCUUCUAAAUAUUAAAUGGUCACAUUAUAACA
Long non-coding RNA from Octopus bimaculoides (California two-spot octopus), 1295 nucleotides. RefSeq lists it as uncharacterized. NCBI's taxonomy places the organism in Eukaryota, Metazoa, Mollusca, Cephalopoda, Octopoda, Octopodidae. The record is from RefSeq and is a predicted model, not a curated record.